CGAGAGAGCGGCGGCUGCUCCAGCAUCCAGAGCAAGGGAGAGGCCGGAGCGGUGCCUGUGUCCCGCCGGGCCUCCGACAGCGCCCGGCCCGCUGCCUGCCCGGGCUCGGCGCUACAGGACCCCCCCCCCCAAAUCCGGAACGAUCACGGUGGGCAAUAGCUGGUUUGCCUUGAGUACUGAAGAUCUCAGUGUGCAAGUGGCACAAACCACUGACAGAGGAGUAGGCCAGUUUCAGCAUGGCUUUUGAAUCUAAGCAGAGGGAGCCCAGACCCACUUCCUGAGCUCUGAGACUGUUCAAUCAAGUCUUUCAGGGAUUCCCCUGGAGGAAUGUAAGUCUCAUCCUGUUCAAGUCCAAUGCUGUAACGAGGUCUGGUUUCUUGCCUUUUAUGCCUAUGAUUUUAGUGAAAAUUAAAUUAGUUGACAGUACAAUGAGGAAUGGAUGCUAUGUAGAAAACGCUACUCACAUUUAAUUUUUAGUCAUGCAUACGUUCCCAGCAAUUACUCAGUACGUGCUACUCAUCAACGACUAUUUUCUGAUCUAUUUGCAACGUUAGAAUGCUUUAGGUCUACGAAAGGGGCCGACUAUCAGCCUGCUUGGGGAAUCCAGCAUAAUUUUGCAUAGCCAAGUACCAAAAUUAAAACCCCUAAUUCAGAGAAUAGUCCUAAAAACAGCGAUGCAGCAAAUACCUCACCUUUUUGUUAUGAAUGUUGUGGGUCUUUUAUGACCAAAUAAAGGCAUUUUUAUGAAUUUGCCUAUGCUUUCUUUGUGUGCAACCUUGUGUGCACUGUGUUAAUCGGCUUAUGAGCUUUAUUUACUAUAGGGUGUCUUUACACCCAUUGUUUUCUUUCAUUUUCACUGUAUACUACUUUGUGUUAUUUCCCACUGGAAAGCUUUUUAGGACAUACUUUCUUUGAAGGAUGCUAUACAAAAGACCAACUAUAUUAUAGGCAUUAUAUUGAUGCCUUUGUAUAUUUUGCUAAUGUUAAAAUCACAAUUUUUCCCUAUAAUAUAAAAAAAGUUUUUUUAAUUGUUCUCCAAUUCCCUCCUGUUAAUUUUUUAU
This is a long non-coding RNA of Mauremys mutica (yellowpond turtle), 1061 nucleotides long. RefSeq lists it as uncharacterized. The transcript has 3 exons. Lineage: Eukaryota; Metazoa; Chordata; Testudines; Geoemydidae. The record is from RefSeq and is a predicted model, not a curated record.